CAAGACGUAGCUUAACUUAAAGCAAUCCGCUUACACCGGAUAAAUAUCUGUGAAAAUCAGAUCGUUUUGAG
RNAcentral lists this transfer RNA (71 nucleotides) under Physalaemus henselii (Hensel's dwarf frog). RNAcentral's name for it is "tRNA-Val". It matches the Rfam family "tRNA". Rfam says of the family: Transfer RNA (tRNA) molecules are approximately 80 nucleotides in length. Lineage: Eukaryota; Metazoa; Chordata; Amphibia; Anura; Leptodactylidae. The record is from RNAcentral.